GCACCUAUGGCGGAAUUGGUAGACGUGCUACCUUGAGGGGGUAGUGUCCUAUGGACGUGCUGGUUCGAAUCCAGUUAGGUGUAC
Molecule: transfer RNA, 84 nt
Filed under: Wenyingzhuangia marina
Lineage: Bacteria; Pseudomonadati; Bacteroidota; Flavobacteriia; Flavobacteriales; Flavobacteriaceae
Description: tRNA-Leu
Rfam family: tRNA
About the family: Transfer RNA (tRNA) molecules are approximately 80 nucleotides in length. Their secondary structure includes four short double-helical elements and three loops (D, anti-codon, and T loops).
Source: RNAcentral